UGCUUGAAAGAUCACGGGGAGUUUGAAAUUGAUGAUGGAACAGUUAUUCUCUUAAAGAAGAAUAGCCAGCAUUUUCUGCCCGAUGGAAGUGUGGGCAGCUGAUUCGGCAGGGUGUACUGGAACACGUCAUUUCUUAACAUGACCAUUUUCGCUGGUUUUGCUAGUUAAUAACUAUAAAUUAACAUUUGUGUCUGUCAAUUACAUUAAUUUCAAUAAUUCAAAGAAUUUAUCAAAGCAGUGUCCAGGUGGUUUGCUGCAUGAAAUUUUACUGUCAAACUGUACAGUGAUUUCAUAUGUACAUCAUCUAUAUCACACUGCUGCUAUGGCUUAAGCAGGUCCAUUUUUCUUUUUUGAAUAAAUGCUGUGAAGGUGAUGAUAUAGUUGAGAAUAAUCGAUAAAAUUACAGCUUUUGCAAGACCGUCAACACAAUUUAUGAACAUCACAGUGGAUUGAACAGUAGUGUAGCAUGAUUGUGCAAAUUUAAGGACAGCCUGUGUAUCAAAAAAUGUACAUGUGAAGAAUACUGUGCUUUGAGUUGAUACUUCUCAAUAGUCAAACACCUUUCAAACGUUUUUUUUUGUAUUUAGAAUGAAUAUUUACCAUAUACAGUCCAUAAUGUUUAAAUUACUAAUGAAUAAACCAACUAAAAGGAAUCCCAUUUGCACGAUGCCAUUAUAUUUGGCCUUUUACAUUUCAAACUUCGCCUUAAUAUUUUACUCAGACACAAUUGUCUCAGAAGAGACAUAAAAUUUCUAUGG
Long non-coding RNA from Ictalurus punctatus (channel catfish), 758 nucleotides. RefSeq lists it as uncharacterized. NCBI's taxonomy places the organism in Eukaryota, Metazoa, Chordata, Actinopteri, Siluriformes, Ictaluridae. The transcript is spliced from 2 exons. The record is from RefSeq and is a predicted model, not a curated record.